UUUAGUUGAAUUGUAGGAAAAAGUGAUAAUAAAUUAAUUUUAUACUGUGAGGGGAGGCUCAGUAUUAAGUUAAUAAAAAUUUCAUUAAUUUUACCUUUUGUAUCAGGAUUUAUUAAAUCUAUAAUUUAAGAAUUGUUUCUCGAAAAAAAAAGAUUUAAAGUUAUUUAUAUAUUAUUGUUUCAUAAAUAAAAAAAAUAUACUUUUAGGUUUGAAAAAAAAUUCGAUUUUUUAUAUCUAGUUGCGUUACUUUUUGAUUUAAUCAAUUUAAUUUAAAGUACUAAUUUAUUUAAAUUACAAAUUUUCAUAGGGAUAAGCUUGUGUUGAAACUUAUAGUUGAUAGGUUAAUUUAUUUUGUAUGCUUAGAAUUAGCUUUUUAUUUAAUAUAUAAAAAUUAAUUAAAUUAAAUUAAAUUUUUUGUACAACUUUAAGGGGAGGUAAAGUUGUUUAAAGAAAUUUAAAAUUUAAAAUAAUUAUGAUAAAAUUAGUAGAAAUUAAAAAUAAUUAUUAAGAAUUCGGCAAAUUUAAUCUUUGACUGUUUAUCAAAAACAUAUCUGAGGGGAAUAUGUUUUUGGUGUAACCUGCUCAAUGCCAAGGUAAAUAGCUGCAGUAUUUUGACUGUACAAAGGUAGCAUAAUCAUUAGUCUUUUGAUUAAAGGCUUGUAUGAAUGGUUAAACAGAGGAUUAACUUUUUUAUUUUUAUGAAUUUUAAAUUUUGUGAUUGUGUAAAAAAACACAUUUAUUUUAAAGGGACGAGAAGACCCUAUAGAAUUUUGUAUUUACUUUGUUUAUUAAAUUACUUGAUUGGGGUGAUUGAGAAUAAACUUUCUUUAAAUUUUCAUUUAUAUAUGAUAGCAUGAUCCUGAUUUUUUAGAUAAAAAGAUAAAAUUACCUUAGGGAUAACAGCAUAAUUUUUCUUUUAAGCUCAUAUUUAUAGAAAAGAUUAUGACCUCGAUGUUGAAUUAAAAAAGUAUUAGGGUGAAGGCAUUUUAGUAGAGAGUCUGUUCGACUUAAAUUUUUACAUGAUUUGAGUUCAGACCGGCGUGAGCCAGGUUGGUUUCUAUCUUUUAAGUUUUUAAUUAGUUUAGUACGAAAGGAUUAAUUAAUUUAAUUUUUAUUAUAACUUUUGAAUAAUAUUAAAUUUAAAUU
This 1146-nucleotide ribosomal RNA is filed under the name Freysuila caesalpiniae. RNAcentral's name for it is "16S ribosomal RNA". The record is from RNAcentral. Lineage: Eukaryota; Metazoa; Arthropoda; Insecta; Hemiptera; Psyllidae.